GGUGAAAAGAGGUUAUUUGAUAUUAGCUCACUUGAUGAAUGGAGAAACCAAGCUUAUGAAAAUGCCAAGUUGUUUAAAGAAAAGGUUAAAAUAUGCCAUGAAAAAAGGAUACAAAAGCUUGAGUUUAAUGUAGGUGAUUAUGUAUUGCUAUACAACUCUCGUUUAAGAUUUUUUGCAGGGAAACUUCUCUCUAAAUGGGAAGGCCCCUAUGUUAUCGAGGAGGUCUAUCGUUCUGGUGCCAUAAAAAUCAACAACUUCGAAGGCACAAAUCCGAAGGUGGUAAACGGUCAAAGAAUCAAACACUAUAUCUCAGGUAAUCCCAUAAAUGUUGAAACCAAU
RNAcentral lists this ribosomal RNA (339 nucleotides) under Triticum aestivum (bread wheat). RNAcentral's name for it is "partial small subunit ribosomal RNA". The record is from RNAcentral. Lineage: Eukaryota; Viridiplantae; Streptophyta; Magnoliopsida; Poales; Poaceae.